RNAcentral lists this ribosomal RNA (329 nucleotides) under uncultured eukaryote. Its description in RNAcentral is "partial 18S ribosomal RNA". It matches the Rfam family "Eukaryotic small subunit ribosomal RNA", at positions 1470 to 1796 of the family's 1831-position model. The record is from RNAcentral.
CCCUUAGAUGUUCUGGGCCGCACGCGCGCUACACUGACGAUGGCAACGAGUUUUUCCUUCGCCGAAAGGUGUGGGUAAUCUUUUGAAACAUCGUCGUGCUGGGGAUAGAUCAUUGCAAUUUUUGAUCUUGAACGAGGAAUUCCCAGUAAGCGCGAGUCAUCAGCUCGCGUUGAUUACGUCCCUGCCCUUUGUACACACCGCCCGUCGCUACUACCGAUUGAAUGGUUUAGUGAGGACUCCUGAUUGGCGCCGCCGCCCCGGCAACGGAGCAGCGGACUGCCGAAAAGUUGUUCAAACUUGAUCAUUUAGAGGAAGUAAAAGUCGUAACA